Molecule: ribosomal RNA, 253 nt
Filed under: uncultured bacterium
Lineage: Bacteria
Description: partial 16S ribosomal RNA
Rfam family: Bacterial small subunit ribosomal RNA
Source: RNAcentral
UACGGAGGGGACUAGCGUUGUUCGGAAUUACUGGGCGUAAAGCGCACGUAGGCGGAUUUGUAAGUCAGGGGUGAAAUCCCGGGGCUCAACCUCGGAACUGCCUUUGAUACUGCAAAUCUCGAGUCCGGAAGAGGUGAGUGGAAUUCCUAGUGUAGAGGUGAAAUUCGUAGAUAUCGGGAGGAACACCUGUGGCGAAGGCGGCCACCUGGACAACAACUGACGCUGAGACGCGAAAGCGUGGGUAGCAAACAGG